Molecule: ribosomal RNA, 253 nt
Filed under: uncultured bacterium
Lineage: Bacteria
Description: partial 16S ribosomal RNA
Rfam family: Bacterial small subunit ribosomal RNA
Source: RNAcentral
UACAGAGGGGGCAAGCGUUGUUCGGAAUUACUGGGCGUAAAGGGCGCGUAGGCGGCCUUCUAAGUCAGACGUGAAAUCCCCGGGCUCAACCCGGGAACUGCGUCUGAUACUGGAAGGCUUGAAUCCGGGAGAGGGAUGUGGAAUUCCAGGUGUAGCGGUGAAGUGCGUAGAUAUCUGGAGGAACACCGGUGGCGAAGGCGGCAUCCUGGACCGGUAUUGACGCUGAGGCGCGAAAGCCAGGGGAGCAAACGGG